This 72-nucleotide transfer RNA is filed under the name Candidatus Giovannonibacteria bacterium. RNAcentral's name for it is "tRNA-Ile". It matches the Rfam family "tRNA". Rfam says of the family: Transfer RNA (tRNA) molecules are approximately 80 nucleotides in length. The record is from RNAcentral. Lineage: Bacteria; Candidatus Giovannoniibacteriota.
GGAUGCGUAGUUCAGUGGUAGAACGCUGUCCUGAUAAGACAGAGGUCGGAGGUUCGAUCCCUCCCGCAUCCA